GCCCCUGUAGUAUAGACCAAUACAUCAGUCUUGUAAACUGGCAACGGACAUUCAUUCCCUGGGGCA
Molecule: transfer RNA, 66 nt
Filed under: Trachypithecus francoisi (Francois's langur)
Lineage: Eukaryota; Metazoa; Chordata; Mammalia; Primates; Cercopithecidae
Description: tRNA-Thr
Rfam family: tRNA
About the family: Transfer RNA (tRNA) molecules are approximately 80 nucleotides in length. Their secondary structure includes four short double-helical elements and three loops (D, anti-codon, and T loops). Further hydrogen bonds mediate the characteristic L-shaped molecular structure. tRNAs have two regions of fundamental functional importance: the anti-codon, which is responsible for specific mRNA codon recognition, and the 3' end, to which the tRNAs corresponding amino acid is attached (by aminoacyl-tRNA synthetases). tRNAs cope with the degeneracy of the genetic code in two manners: having more than one tRNA (with a specific anti-codon) for a particular amino acid; and 'wobble' base-pairing, i.e. permitting non-standard base-pairing at the 3rd anti-codon position.
Source: RNAcentral